ACUACGUGUGGCAGCAGUGAGGAAUAUUGGUCAAUGGACGAGAGUCUGAACCAGCCAAGUAGCGUGAAGGAUGACUGCCCUAUGGGUUGUAAACUUCUUUUAUAUGGGAAUAACAUGUUCCACGUGUGGGAUUUUGUAUGUACCAUAUGAAUAAGGAUCGGCUAACUCCGUGCCAGCAGCCGCGGUAAUACGGAGGAUCCGAUCGUUAUCCGGAUUUAUUGGGUUUAAAGGGAGAGUAAGUGGGUUGUUGAGUCAGUUGUGAAAGUUUGCAGCUCAACCGUAAAAUUGCAUGUGAAACUGGCAGUCUUGAGUACAGUAGAGGUGGGCGGAAUGCGUGGUGUAGCGGUGAAAUGCUUAGAUAUCACGAAGAACUCCGAUUGCGAAGGCAGCUCACUGGACUGCAACUGACACUGAGGCUCGAAAGUGUGGGUAUCAAACAGGAUUAGAUACCCCAGUAGUC
RNAcentral lists this ribosomal RNA (460 nucleotides) under uncultured bacterium. Its description in RNAcentral is "partial 16S ribosomal RNA". It matches the Rfam family "Bacterial small subunit ribosomal RNA", at positions 337 to 795 of the family's 1533-position model. The record is from RNAcentral.